This 454-nucleotide ribosomal RNA is filed under the name uncultured bacterium. RNAcentral's name for it is "bacterial SSU rRNA". It matches the Rfam family "Bacterial small subunit ribosomal RNA", at positions 340 to 786 of the family's 1533-position model. The record is from RNAcentral.
UACGGGAGGCAGCAGUGGGGAAUAUUGCACAAUGGGCGCAAGCCUGAUGCAGCCAUGCCGCGUGUAUGAAAAAGGCCUUCGGGUUGUAAAGUACUUUCAGUCGUGAGGAAGGUGUUAAGGUUAAUAACCUUAGCAAUUGACGUUAGCGACAGAAGAAGCACCGGCUAACUCCGUGCCAGCAGCCGCGGUAAUACGGAGGGUGCGAGCGUUAAUCGGAAUUACUGGGCGUAAAGGGCACGCAGGCGGUUAAUUAAGUUGGAUGUGAAAUCCCCGGGCUUAACCUGGGAAUGGCAUUCAAGACUGGUUAGCUAGAGUCUUGUAGAGGGGGUAGAAUUCCGAUGUGUAGCGGUGAAUGCGUAGAGAUGUGGAGGAAUACCGGUGGCGAAGGCGGCCCCGUGGACAAAGACUGACGCUCAUGUGCGAAAGCGUGGGGAGCAAACAGGGAUUAGAUACC